Molecule: ribosomal RNA, 253 nt
Filed under: uncultured bacterium
Lineage: Bacteria
Description: partial 16S ribosomal RNA
Rfam family: Bacterial small subunit ribosomal RNA
Source: RNAcentral
UACAGAGGUCUCAAGCGUUGUUCGGAUUCAUUGGGCGUAAAGGGUGCGUAGGCGGCGCGGUAAGUCGGGUGUGAAAUCUCGGAGCUUAACUCCGAAACUGCAUUCGAUACUGCCGUGCUUGAGGACUGGAGAGGAGACUGGAAUUCUCGGUGUAGCAGUGAAAUGCGUAGAUAUCGAGAGGAAUACCAAAGGCGAAGGCAGGUCACUGGGCAGUUACUGACACUGAGGCACGAAGGCUAGGGGAGCAAACGGG